GGAGGGGUACCCAAGCGGCCAAAGGGAGCAGACUGUAAAUCUGCCGGCAACAGCCUACGAAGGUUCGAAUCCUUCCCCCUCCA
Molecule: transfer RNA, 83 nt
Organism: Vulgatibacter incomptus
Lineage: Bacteria; Pseudomonadati; Myxococcota; Myxococcia; Myxococcales; Vulgatibacteraceae
Rfam family: tRNA
About the family: Transfer RNA (tRNA) molecules are approximately 80 nucleotides in length. Their secondary structure includes four short double-helical elements and three loops (D, anti-codon, and T loops). Further hydrogen bonds mediate the characteristic L-shaped molecular structure. tRNAs have two regions of fundamental functional importance: the anti-codon, which is responsible for specific mRNA codon recognition, and the 3' end, to which the tRNAs corresponding amino acid is attached (by aminoacyl-tRNA synthetases). tRNAs cope with the degeneracy of the genetic code in two manners: having more than one tRNA (with a specific anti-codon) for a particular amino acid; and 'wobble' base-pairing, i.e. permitting non-standard base-pairing at the 3rd anti-codon position.
Source: Rfam